CUGCUCUUCACUUCCCUGAGCAAGGUUCAAGGCUGCCUUUUCCCUCACAGCUAACCAAGCAGGAGAAACGGCCCUGGACACUGCCAAGAGGACAAGACAUCACCAAUGUGAAGAGCUGGUAGGACACGGUGUCGGUUUUGGGACACAUCCUGGCAGGGAAAGGCACUGCACAGAUGCCUGGUGCAGGGCCAUCCAAAUCCUUCAGCAUCAUCUGUGCUGGUAUGGGACACAGAGGAGGGUGCCACGGGGUCUGCUCUGUCCCAGCUGUCGUGGGGUACCUCAGGGCUGGGCAGUUUGGGACAGGUCACAUAGGGGAACCUGAAACUGCACAAAGCCACACAGGGUGAGAGCAUCUCCUUGGUGAGUCCAAGCCUUACUUUGGCCGUGUCCCACAGAGUGUUUGGACAGCUUUGCAAAACUCCUGGCCUGCUGAGCUAGCAGCACCACAUACAGUUUGUGAUUGUUUCCUCCAUAACCAAAUGGUCUGUCAGAAAUGGGGCUGGUGCAGCGGGCAGGGCUGGUGGGUGCUCAGGGGGCUCCUCUGUGCCUCAGCUGCUGCAGGCCCAGAACAAUCAGUUCAGCCCGCACGUCCAUGUGGAGUACGAGUGGUGGCUGGGCCAGGAUGACAUGUAUGAGAGUGACGAUGAGCUGGAUGAGAAGCUGGGUCUUAUGAAGAGGGGGUCUUCCUGUCCACAGAGCUGCUCUCAGCCUCCUGCCACUGCCGCCAGACCAGAAGCAGCAGGGGCAAUGCCCCAGGGGAGGCGGCCAGACAGCUAUGCCUUGCCACACACCCACCUCCGCAGCCUGGAUGUGCCACCAGCCCCCUCCUACCCACCUCCCUUCCCUCCCCAUCGGGCGAAGUCAGCUCCUGAAAGGACACGUCCACUCCUGACCAGUUCAUCUGUCUUUGGUGAGGACACAAGAACCAGGAGGAGCCCAUCCCUGCCUCUGAGCUCCAAGCACAAGCGCACAUCCUCAGAUCCAGCUCCUUGGGUACCACUCAGCCCAGAGAAACCCAUCCUUGGCCUGGCUUCAGGUGCCCUGAUGGCUGUGGACAGCCUCUAUGCAUCUGUCUCCAGAAAAGGAGGACAACCUGGCCCACACCAAUCCCCCCAGGAGUCAGAUCCAAGUUCUGGAAGUGCCUCGGACGUCCCGCCUCCUCUUCCUCGGAGGGGCAGUUCGGUAGGUGGCCAUGGGCUCAGCUCCUG
Molecule: long non-coding RNA, 1208 nt
Filed under: Chrysolophus pictus (golden pheasant)
Lineage: Eukaryota; Metazoa; Chordata; Aves; Galliformes; Phasianidae
Description: lncRNA (ENSCPIG00010009340.1)
Source: RNAcentral